CCGGCCUCCCUCCCUCCCGCCGGCCUCCCUCCAGCCCGGCUUCGCGCCCGCCUGCCCGGCCUCCCUCCCUCCCGCCGGCCUCCCUCCCUCCCACCGGCCUCCCUCCCUCCCGCCGGCCUCCCUCCAGCCCGGCCUCCCUCCCCCCCGCCGGCCUCCCUCUGGGGACGCCUCCGGAACGUUCUGGAACGCGGGGCCUCCCGGGACCGCGGGGGUGCCGGGCUCGGAGGGAGGCUGUGCGGGGAGGCUCCCCGGGCCGGGACGGGAGGGACGGGGGUUGGGGGGAGCAGGGUCGUGACCCCCACCGCCCGCUGGGGGGUCUUUUUGGCCGAGAAAGAAUGAAAAUCGGUCCCCGUUUUGCGUUUAUUUUUUUUUUUAAUUUUUUAUUUCUUGAGACAAGAGUCCCGCUCUGCCGCCCGGGCCGGGGUGAGCGCCGUGGCCUCAGCCUCCCUCACGGCAGCCUCCGAGUCCUGGCCUCCAGCAACGAGCCUCCCGCCUCGGCCUCUAACUCCUGACCUCAAGCGAUCCUCCCGCCUCGGCCUCCCUCCCGAGUAGCUGGGACUCCAGGCAUGCGCCUCCACGCCCGGCUCGUUUUUCUCUAUAUAUUUUUAGUUGCUCAAUUAAUUUCUUUCCAUUUUGAGUAGAGAUGGGGGGGGGGCGUCUCGCUCCAGCUCAGGCCGGCCUCCACCUCCCGGCCUCCGUCCGAUCCUCCCGCCCCGGCCUCCCCCUUUGCCCCGACCUCAGACCCAGGGCAGCCGCUGUCCCCGCAGGUUCCUGGCCGCCUUCCCGCUGAACGGCGAGCUGCCCGCCCGCCCCGGGGACGGGCUGGAGGCCACGCUGGAGGGGCGCUUCGCCGUCCGCGCGGCCCGGGACCACGAGGAGCGCGUGCACGGCAAGAAAACCUCCAAGGCGAGGCCCACGCAGGAGGCCGGAGGCCCAGGAAACCGCCCCUCGGGCCCCGGAGGGAAGCGCAAGAGCAAGAGCAAGAAGACAGGCGGCCUUGAGCCUCCAGCCUCCAGCCAGGGGGUAGAGGCCGGCCGAGGAGGCCGGGGAGGCCGGAGGCUGCGGCGGGCGGCGGCCUCCACGGCCUCCUACCGGGAGCAGAGCGGCAGUGAGGACGAGGAGGACAAGGCCGGCAGCGGCUCCGACGGGGAGGCC
RNAcentral lists this long non-coding RNA (1155 nucleotides) under Microcebus murinus (gray mouse lemur). Its description in RNAcentral is "lncRNA (ENSMICG00000048745.1)". The record is from RNAcentral. Lineage: Eukaryota; Metazoa; Chordata; Mammalia; Primates; Cheirogaleidae.